GAUCUGGGCGGCUUUGCUUGAGCUGCUGCCCCCGCGACCUGACUCCGGAUAAAGCGGAAGAAAAUGGAUGGAUGGAUGGAAGUUGGAGCAGUGGAUGAAAGAGGAUCAAGGCCAUGUUCUCUUCUCUAUGGGACCAUAUCAACAGACAACCUGGAAGGCAGUCUACAAUAGUAUGUUCAUUUAUGCAGUUAUGUCCAUUUAUACUUAAAAAAAAUUCUAAUAUUCUUUUUUGAAAUUAAUUUUCUUUCUAAAACACACUUCUCACAUUGGUGGCAUACACUUCCAUUUAUGUAUUUAGUUCCAGACAGUCACAACCUACCAAAGGCUCUGGACACAGCUCAUCAUCGGAGGAGGAGGACUCCACUGCUGACCUGCAUAACCGCACCAUCAGGGGGCAGUCAAAGCCUGGGUGAGAGCCAGAGCCAAGGCAAGACAAAGGUGUGCAGGAUGGUCCUGGUAAGGCAAAGCCUCACUCCAGAAAGAAGAAACGGCAUGAUUGUCCAGGUGCCGGUGAUGCCCGCUCAUCUUCUUCAGCAUCAUUGGCUGCUGCAUUGACCGAGACAAAUCAUCAUGGCAGCACUGGCGGUGAUCUGGGUAAAUGAUUGGGUAGCAGGUAAAGAGCCUCAGCACCAGCUAUGGAGGCAGCAGCAGGUUCCUCCUCCUCCUCCUCCUCCUCAACCAUCAUAACCCCAUCCUUCACAGCCCCAACCAGCAGGACCCAGUCAGUGGGUCAGGACCACCCGACUCUACUGGCAGGGCUACCAACAUGAUGGCGGUUACAACUACAGCCAAGGCAGCCACUACACCCCGCAGCACCUAUCAGAAGGCCAACCCCACCAGGGAACCCAGACACCCUCAAGACCAUCCACACCACAGGCCUCCAGCACACCUGUGGGGAACAGAAUACAGGCAUCUGCCAAUGUGACUGGACUCAGUCGCUGUGGUGGAGGUGAUGGUGAUGGUGAUCUGCACGAAUUGUUGGGGUUCAAGCUUCAUAUGCGCACUCACAGGCUUAAAGUGGCAGUAGUAAUCAUAGUUUUUACAUUUUUAUAUAUUCAGGACAUUUUUGAUUUAUGCUCACUGACAUUUUUGAUGUUUAAUUGAUAUCUAUGUAAAAAAAAAAAAAAA
This is a long non-coding RNA of Thalassophryne amazonica, 1128 nucleotides long. RefSeq lists it as uncharacterized. NCBI's taxonomy places the organism in Eukaryota, Metazoa, Chordata, Actinopteri, Batrachoidiformes, Batrachoididae. The transcript has 2 exons. The record is from RefSeq and is a predicted model, not a curated record.